This 899-nucleotide ribosomal RNA is filed under the name uncultured bacterium. Its description in RNAcentral is "bacterial SSU rRNA". It matches the Rfam family "Bacterial small subunit ribosomal RNA", at positions 1 to 853 of the family's 1533-position model. The record is from RNAcentral.
GUUCGCCCUUGGUUCCAAGACUUUGAUUAUGGCUCAGGAUGAACGCUGGCGGCAUGCCUAAGACAUGCAAGUCGAACGAGGUGGCCCAAAGAAGAUUGAGUGCUUGCACAAGAUUGGACUUGGGAUUACCACCUAGUGGGCGGACGGGUGAGUAACACGUAGGUGACCUGCCUUUGAGUUUGGGAUAACUAUUAGAAAUGAUAGCUAAUACCGGGAUUAAAUACAGAUUCGUUUCUGUAUUAAAAGGAGCCUUUAAAGCUUCGCUUAAAGAUGGGCCUGCGGCGUAUUAGCUAGUUGGUGAGGUAAUGGCUUACCAAGGCGACGAUGCGUAGCCGAACUGAGAGGUUGAUCGGCCACAUUGGGACUGAGACACGGCCCAAACUCCUACGGGAGACAGCAGUUAGGAAUAUUCGUCAAUGGGGGAAACCCUGAACGAGCAAUGCCGCGUGAACGAUGAAGGCCCUAUGGGUUGUAAAGUUCUGUUGCAUGGGACGAACGAUUAGGAUAGGAAAUGAUCUUAAUGUGACGGUACCAUGCCAGAAAGCUCCGGCUAACUACGUGCCAGCAGCCGCGGUAAUACGUAGGGAGCAAGCGUUAUCCGGAUUUAUUGGGCGUAAAGGGUGCGUAGGCGGCUUGUUAAGUAUGAGAUUAAAGCCCGAGGCUUAACCUCGGUUCGUUUCAUAAACUGGCAGGCUUGAGUGUGGCAGAGGUAAACGGAAUUUCUAGUGUAGCGGUUAAAUGCGUAGAUAUUAGAAGGAACACCAGUGGCGAAGGCGGUUUACUGGGCCAUAACUGACGCUGAGGCACGAAAGCGUGGGGAGCAAAUAGGAUUAGAUACCCUAGUAGUUCACGCCGUAAACGAUGAGUACUAAGUGUUGGGGCAACCCAGUGCUGAAGUU